This 6516-nucleotide ribosomal RNA is filed under the name Triticum aestivum (bread wheat). RNAcentral's name for it is "partial small subunit ribosomal RNA". The record is from RNAcentral. Lineage: Eukaryota; Viridiplantae; Streptophyta; Magnoliopsida; Poales; Poaceae.
AUGGCAUCAAAAGGUCCCCGGUCGAAGCUAGACCAUGAGACAAGACCUAGACGCAAGAAGGCUCUUGAAGCUCCAAGGGAGCCUCGGAAGCCAAAAGUUCACUGGGACCAUGUUCUGGGGGAAAUGGUUUGGCUGUCAAAGGAGUUUGAAUCUGAGAGGAAGUGGAAGUUGUCCAUGGCUAAAAAGAUUGCUCAAAGGGCCAAUAUGGGUGUAGUUGACCAAGCAACAAAGGAUGAGAAAAAACAGAAGGAGGGGGAACAUCGCCUGAGAAAAGUUGCCCUAAAUAUUUCUAAGGAUGUGAAGAAGUUCUGGACCAAAAUAGAGAAGUUGGUUCUCUAUAAGAAUCAGCUAGAGGUUGAGGAAAGGAAGAAAAAGGCCCUCGAUAAGCAGCUUGAUUUCCUUUUAGGUCAGACUGAAAGAUAUUCUACAAUGUUGGCUGAAAAUCUCGUGGAUGUUCCCCAUUUGCAAACACAAGAAAAUGGACUGUUACAGACAAAUGUACUAUCCAAGGAGGAAGUAGCAGGACCUUCCCAGACUAAUCAACUGUCCCAGGAGGAAGUAGCAGGACCUUCCCAGACUAAUCAACCAUCCCAGGAGGAAGUGGCAGGACCGUCACAGACUAAUCAACCAUUGCAGGAGGAUGUAGCAGAACCUUCGCAGACUAAUCAACCAUUGCAGGAGGAUGUAGCAGAACCUUCGCACACUAAUCAACCAUUGCAGGAGGAUGUAGCAGAACCUUCGCAUGCUAAUCAACCAGCGCAGGAGGAAGUAGCUGAGGAGAACAUAAAUGCACCAACUCCUGAUGAUCUAGUUGCAGAUACAAUGGAAACUGAUGAUGACUACGAUAGCAGCUCCUUGAACGAAGAACAGGAAGAUGACGAGCGCACAAUUGAUGAGGAUGAAGCCCAAAUCACGGAGGCUGAGCGCAAUGAAGAAUUAGCUGCAUUGCAGGCAGAAGCUGACAUACCAAUUGAUGAUCUUCUUAAGUCGUAUCUCAAAAGCCAAGUUAGCAGGGAAAGCAGUCCAGCUAACAAAGACACUUGCAGCAACUCAGAUUUGAAGAAUUCAACUAAAGAUUCUUCAAACCAAGUUAAUGGCUGUAAUCAUGAUUCUGGUUAUACUUCAAGUGAUGAAGGCAAUUUUUCUGAGGAAGUUGAUGAUAGCCACCAUUAUGCUGAGUUUGUGAAGAGGAAUCAUGGGAAAAGUAACGGCGGUAUCUCUGGUGAGCAGGAGGAUAACGAUUAUGUUUGUACUGAUGAAGGAAAGGAUGAUGAAGCAACUUUAUCUGAAGAGGAAGAUUUGGCAAAGAAAGAUGGCCCUGAUCCUUUGGAUGAGAUUAAGCUUCUGCAAAAAGAGAGUGAGAUCCCACUAGAAGAACUUCUUGCGAGGUACCCAAAGGAUGGCUAUGCAGAUGACGUAACAACAGAACUGGAGGAUUCACCCACACAUUCUAGCGAAGAGGUUAAUAGUGACAUGUCUCUGGAUGAUCUACCUGCGGACUUGGAACUGAACAAUGAUACGUCUGAAAAUCAUGAAAUAGCAGAAGUGCUGGGAACUGAGCAUGUGAGCGGCAAUGCCCUACAGCUAGAAAUAGUUUCAGAGCCUAGCGUGCAAGAAACCUCUGUUAAAGGAGACGAGCUGACUGAUGCUAAGGUGAUGGCCGAUGAGGAAGCUAGUGUACAAGAAUGUUCUGUUGAAGAAGUUGAGAUGACCGAUGCUAAGGUGAUGGCCGAUCAGGAAACUAUUGUACAAGAAUGUCCUGUUAAAGAAGAUGAGCUGACUGAUGCUAAGGUGAUGGCCGAUGAGGAAACUAGUGUACAAGAACGUUCUGUUAAAGAAGAUGAGCUGACUGAUGCUAAGGCGAUUGCCGAUGAGGAAACUGGUGACAGUGUAAUGGCUGAUGCUGCUGCUGCUGCAAGAGCAGCACAACCAACUGGGAACACCUUCUCAACAACGAGUGUCCGCACGAAAUUCCCAUUCCUUCUCAAGCAUUCUCUUCGGGAAUAUCAGCAUAUUGGGUUGGACUGGUUGGUUGCUAUGUAUGAAAAGAGGCUGAAUGGAAUUUUAGCAGAUGAAAUGGGUUUAGGGAAGACGAUCAUGACUAUCUCCUUGCUAGCACACCUUGCAUGUGAGAAGGGGAUAUGGGGUCCACAUCUUAUUGUCGUGCCAACCAGUGUUAUGUUAAAUUGGGAGACAGAAUUUCUGAAAUGGUGUCCUGCCUUUAAAAUACUUACUUAUUUUGGAAGUGCAAAGGAGAGAAAGCAGAAACGUCAAGGUUGGAUGAAGCCAAAUUUUUUCCAUGUAUGCAUCACGACAUACAGGCUAGUUAUUCAGGACUCCAAAGCGUUCAAGCGAAAGAAGUGGAAGUAUCUUAUUCUUGAUGAGGCUCAUCUGAUAAAGAACUGGAAAUCACAAAGAUGGCAGACUCUGCUGAAUUUUAAUUCGAAACGACGUAUUCUGUUGACUGGAACUCCUUUGCAAAAUGACCUUAUGGAACUUUGGUCUCUCAUGCACUUUUUGAUGCCACAUGUAUUCCAGUCUCACCAAGAGUUCAAGGAUUGGUUCUGCAAUCCAAUAUCAGGAAUGGUGGAGGGCCAAGACAAGGUAAACAAGGAAGUUAUCGAUAGGUUGCACAAUGUCCUCCGCCCAUUUAUAUUACGGCGAUUGAAACGAGAUGUUGAGAAACAGUUACCACAGAAGCAUGAGCAUGUCAUAUAUUGCCGACUUUCCAGAAGGCAAAGAAACUUGUAUGAAGAUUUUAUUGCCAGCUCAGAUACACAAGCAACACUGUCAAGUGGCAACUAUUUUGGUAUGAUUAGCAUCAUUAUGCAACUCAGAAAGGUCUGUAACCAUCCGGAUCUUUUUGAAGGCCGCCCAAUUAUCAGCUCAUUUGACAUGGCAGGGAUUGACAUGCAGAUCAGCUCUUCUGUUUGCAUGGUCCUGGAUAAGGGCCCAUUUUCUCAGGCUGGUCUGUCUGAUAUGAACCUUGUGUUUACUCAAAAUGAAUUUAAUAUGACUUCUUGGGAGGCGGAUGAGGUUGCUGCUGUCUUUCUUCCAGGCAUCACCUCUAGGGGCUCUGGUGCAGAGAUUUCUUGCUCUAGCAAGGCUGGUCAGAGAAGUAAUGGAACAAAUAUUUUUGAAGAAAUUCAGAAAGCCUUGCAGGAGGAGAGAAUUAAAGAGGCCAAAGAAAGAGCAGCUUCAAUUGCUUGGUGGAAUAGGUUGAGAUGCGAGAAGAGGCCUGUUUAUGGUAGAAACAUUAGAGAGCUUCUGACCAUAAGACAUCCUAUGUGUGAUGUUCUUGAGAAGAAGAACAACCCUUCAUGCUACAUGGAUUUUUCAUCGAGUCUAGCAGAUCUUGUUCUUUCAUCUGUGGAACGCUUCAAUAAAAUGCUUGGCUUUAUUGAAUCAUUUACUUUUGCAAUUCCUGCUGCACGGGCUGCUACUCCUAUUUGCUGGUGCAAAAAAAGGAAUUCACCUGUUCUUCUUGGACCAGCUUACAGAGAACAAUGUAUGAAUGAGUUCUCGCCCAUUCUCUCCCCUAUAAGGCCUGCAAUUGUUCGCCGUCAAGUGUACUUCCCGGACAGGCGCUUGAUCCAGUUUGACUGUGGGAAGUUGCAGGAGCUUGCUGUCUUGCUGAGACGUUUGAAGUCAGAAGGACACAGAGCCUUGAUAUUUACUCAGAUGACCAAGAUGCUUGAUACUUUGGAGGAAUUCAUUAAUUUGUAUGGCUAUACAUAUUUGAGGUUAGAUGGUUCUACCCAGCCAGAAGAGAGGCAGACACUAAUGCAGAGGUUCAAUACAAACCCGAAGUUUUUUCUUUUCAUUUUAUCCACUCGCAGUGGCGGUGUGGGAGUCAACCUAGUAGGGGCAGACACUGUUAUAUUCUAUGACAGUGACUGGAACCCUGCAAUGGAUCAACAAGCCCAAGACAGAUGCCACAGGAUAGGACAAACACGUGAAGUUAACAUCUAUAGGCUAAUUAGUGAGAGCACUAUAGAGGAGAAUAUUCUCAAGAAAGCAAAUCAGAAGCGAACACUUGAUGAUUUAGUGAUACAACGCGGUUGUUACAAUACAGAGUUCUUCAAGAAGCUAGACCCUAUGGAAUUUUUUUCUGGGCACACAGCUCUUAAUGUCGAAGAACAGCCGAGGGAUCGCUCUAUGACUGCUGUAUCCUCAAAUGAAACUGGUCUGGCUCUGUCAAAUGCAGAUGUUGAAGCAGCUAUUAGACAGGCAGAAGACGAAGCUGACUAUAUGGCUCUCAAAAGGUUGGAGCAGGAAGAGGCUGCAGACAAUCAAGAAUUCAGUGAGGAGGUUGCUGGAAGGCUAGAGGAUGAUGAGCUUGUAAAUGAGGAGGAUACAAAACCUGAUGAUCACACCAGUGAAGAGCAUAAACAUCAAAGUUCUGAUGCGGAUAAGGAUAAAAAUGUUGGUUUACCUGUGAACCAAAUAAAUGAAGAAAAGGCUCUUACAUUGGCUGCAGGUGACGGAGAUAUGGAUAUGCUUGCUGAUGUUAAGCAAAUGGCUGCUGCAGCAGCUGCAGCAGGACAAGCGAGUUCAUCUUUUGAAAAUCACCUUCGGCCAAUAGAUAGAUAUGCAAUGCGGUUUUUGGAGCUCUGGGAUCCAAUAAUUGACAAAGCUGCUGUAAAUUAUCAGGUGAAUGUUGCAGAGGAAGAAUGGGAACUUGAACGCAUUGAAAAACUCAAAGAAGAUUUAGAAGCAGAAAUUGAUGAAGACCAGGAACCACUAUCUUAUGAGUCAUGGGAUGUUGAUUUCGCUACUACAGCGUAUCGCCAACAGGUUGAGGCUCUAGCUAAAAAGCAGUUGUUGGAAGAACAGGAAAGACAAGCUCUUGAAGCAGCCAAAGAGCUAGAGGAAAUGAAUGAAAUGGCAAGCAGUCACCGCAAAAAGUCAAAGAAGAAGAAAAGGAAGGCAGGCAAGUUUAAGUCUUUAAAAAAAGGACGUGUGUCAUCUGAGUCAGAGGCCAUGCAUGAUGAAACGUCUGUAGAUACUAUGAGUAUUGAUGACAAUGCACCCUCGCCAGAGCUUAUGAGUGAUGAAUCACCACAUCAUGGUUCACAUAAGCGUAAAAAGAUGACACCUAGAAAUGAGGAAGUGAGCAGCAGUAGCAGAGCCCUGAAGAAGUUCAAGAAAGCCCCUAAAUCGAACUUUACUCCUGAGUCCUCAUCACAUAAGCACUCGCUCGAAGGCAAGCAACUCAAGUUGAUGGAUGAAGUGAAUGAUUCUGAUCCAAAGUCGGUGAGAAUUAAGAGUGAUGGCCGGAUUUCCAUGCCCUCCAUGCCAGCAAAACGUGUUAUGGUAAUUAAGCCUGAGAGGUUGAAGAAGAAGGGUCUUUUGUGGCCUCGAGAUUGUGCUUUAGAUUCGUGGACUACCGAGGAAGAUGCAGUUCUUUGUGGAACUGUACAUGAGUACGGUCCUGUUUGGGAACUGGCUAGUGACUUUCUUCAUUCCAUACCUGGUGGUGCAUUUUAUAGGGGAAGAUAUCGUCAUCCUGUACAUUGCUGUGAGAGAUUCCGAGAAUUAUUCUGCAAAUAUGUAUUGUCAGCUACUGACAAUGCAAACAGUGAGAAGGCUCCUUCUGGUGCCGGGAAGGCUGUCUUGAAAGUAUCUGAGGAUCAAACUCGGAUGUUGCUGAAUGUGAUCAGUGAAAUUCCUAACAACGAGUUGCUUCUCCAGAAACAUUUCAUGGCCAUACUUUCUUCUGUUUGGAGAUCAAAAUGUGCUCAUGAGUCCCGACAUGUUACAAGUGUUUGUUCUAGUGCAACCCAUAAGCCUGUUAGAUUGAGUGAGAACUGGUCCAUGGCAAACGACAAGCCAUCAUUUAAUCUGGUAAGGACAGCCCUCGUAGACGCACAGGCCCAAUGUUCAAGAGUGGCAAUACCAACAAGCAACCAGGAACCUCGCCGGAGGCAUUUAGAUUUAGUAUUGGAUUUCCGGACAGAUCGACAUGCUUACCAGGCUGACUUUCCAUCUUUAGUGAAUGUGUCCAUUCUAGAACCAGAUCCUAUUAGACGCACUGUUGUGCCGGUGGAACAAUCACUGCUGUCUGGGCUUCCUCAUAGACAUGCUGAGAACAGAUUCAGGAUAGCAUCAGAAGCUUGUUUUGAAGGGGAAGGUUCUCACUGGGCAUCAUCUGUCCACAUGAAUGAUGCUGCUCGACAUAAAUCUGGUUCAAAGUCCACAGGAAAACACAAAGCAGCUUCAGAAUCGGGAAGACCACCGAAAUCGAAAAUUCAGAGGACGGCUGAACCGCAGGAAAUGCCGGCUUUGAAGUUUGAUUUUCUCCGAUCCCCCCGGCAACUGUUGACAAGUGCAGCUGAGUUCCCCAUCACACAGUCCCUAUCCGACUUUGGCAUCGAUGAUUCUGAGUUGACCUACAUGGAGGAUCUUCCUCUAGAAGAGACUGACACUGAGUUUGCCCCGUCCCAGUAUGACCCAGUUUCCCUUGCUGGUAUCGAGGAGUUGGAUCCUCUUGUGGAUUUGACAGACAUUGGAUGA